AAGUUCGGUGACCUCUGCCCAGCCGAGAGCAGGGGAUGGUCCCGCGGCCAGGGCCCCUCGCGGCUCACCCUCCACGGCGUGGUUCACCUCUUGGAUGAACAGCUGCAGCUUCAUCACCAGGGUGGCUGCGUGGCCAUCCGCCUUCCCGGACGCCGCCUCCUUGGAGCCGGCCCUGAAGGCCGCAUUGAUCCACUCCUUCACGUCGAAGUCGUCUGCCAGGAACUUGGAGAAGUCCAUGGCGGAACUGUCUCAGGCCUGUCGUCCAGGACUUAAGAGUUGGCUCCAGGCGGCAACGGGGAUGCAGAAGCGAGCGAGCCUGCGAGAGCACCAAGGCUAGCCUCCGAGGCGAACCCCAGAAACGCCAGGACGGGUAACUUGCCCCUUUGCGCUUCCCUGCUCGGCCCACUCAGGUUGCGGCUGGGAAUGACCCUCGCCGCCCGCCGUUCUUCUUCCGGAAGUAGUUGGCCGUUACCAUAGCGACUGCAGGCGUCCGGAGCGCUGAGCAGAGGUGCAGUGGCUCAUGCCUGUAAUCCCAGCACUUUGGGAGGCCGAGGCAGGCGGAUCACAAGUCCCAGCUGCUAGGGAGGCUGAGGCAGGAUCGCUUGAGCCUGGGAAGUGGAGGUUGGAGGGAGCCGUGAUUGUACCACUGCACUCCAGCCAGGGCAGCAGAGCAAGACUCCAUCUCAAAAAUAAUUGUCCAUUUCAUCCAAGUUGUAUAAUUUGUUGGCAU
This 730-nucleotide long non-coding RNA is filed under the name Pongo abelii (Sumatran orangutan). RNAcentral's name for it is "lincRNA". The record is from RNAcentral. Lineage: Eukaryota; Metazoa; Chordata; Mammalia; Primates; Hominidae.